RNAcentral lists this ribosomal RNA (513 nucleotides) under uncultured bacterium. Its description in RNAcentral is "bacterial SSU rRNA". It matches the Rfam family "Bacterial small subunit ribosomal RNA", at positions 9 to 517 of the family's 1533-position model. The record is from RNAcentral.
GAGUUUGAUCCUGGCUCAGAUUGAACGCUGGCGGCAGGCCUAACACAUGCAAGUCGAGCGGUAGAGAGAAGCUUGCUUCUCUUGAGAGCGUCGGACGGGUGAGUAAUGCCUAGGAAUCUGCCUGGUAGUGGGGGAUAACGCUCGGAAACGGACGCUAAUACCGCAUACGUCCUACGGGAGAAAGCAGGGGACCUUCGGGCCUUGCGCUAUCAGAUGAGCCUAGGUCGGAUUAGCUAGUUGGUGAGGUAAUGGCUCACCAAGGCGACGAUCCGUAACUGGUCUGAGAGGAUGAUCAGUCACACUGGAACUGAGACACGGUCCAGACUCCUACGGGAGGCAGCAGUGGGGAAUAUUGGACAAUGGGCGAAAGCCUGAUCCAGCCAUGCCGCGUGUGUGAAGAAGGUCUUCGGAUUGUAAAGCACUUUAAGUUGGGAGGAAGGGCAGUAAAUUAAUACUUUGCUGUUUUGACGUUACCGACAGAAUAAGCACCGGCUAACUCUGUGCCAGCCGCCG